GAUCUCAAAUCAGGUAGGACUACCCGCUGAACUUAAGCAUAUCAAUAAGCGGAGGAAAAGAAACUAACAAGGAUUCCCCUAGUAACUGCGAGUGAAGCGGGAAGAGCUCAAAUUUAAAAUCUGGCGUGCCUCUGGUCGUCCGAGUUGUAGUCUGGAGAAGCGUUUUCCGUGUUGGACCGUGUAUAAGUCUCUUGGAACAGGGCGUCAUAGAGGGUGAGAAUCCCGUCUUUGACACGGACUACCAAUGCUUUGUGAUGCGCUCUCAAAGAGUCGAGUUGUUUGGGAAUGCAGCUCAAAAUGGGUGGUAAAUUCCAUCUAAAGCUAAAUAUAGGCGAGAGACCGAUAGCGAACAAGUACCGUGAGGGAAAGAUGAAAAGCACUUUGGAAAGAGAGUUAAACAGUACGUGAAAUUGCUGAAAGGGAAACGCUUGAAGUCAGUCACGUCUGCCAGGACUCAGCCUUGCUUCUGCUUGGUGUACUUUCUGGUUUGAUGGGCCAACAUCAAUUUUGACCGCUGGAGAAAGGCUUUGGGAAUGUGGCACCUUCGGGUGUGUUAUAGCCCUUUGUCGUAUGCAGCGGUUGGGAUUGAGGACUGCAGCACGCCUUUAUGGCCGGGGUUCGCCCACGUACGUGCUU
This 636-nucleotide ribosomal RNA is filed under the name uncultured fungus. RNAcentral describes it as "eukaryotic LSU rRNA". It matches the Rfam family "Eukaryotic large subunit ribosomal RNA", at positions 1 to 614 of the family's 3401-position model. Lineage: Eukaryota; Fungi. The record is from RNAcentral.